RNAcentral lists this ribosomal RNA (211 nucleotides) under Clostridioides difficile. Its description in RNAcentral is "partial 23S ribosomal RNA". It matches the Rfam family "Bacterial large subunit ribosomal RNA", at positions 888 to 1100 of the family's 2925-position model. The record is from RNAcentral. Lineage: Bacteria; Bacillati; Bacillota; Clostridia; Peptostreptococcales; Peptostreptococcaceae.
GAGAGAUACGGAGGUAGAGCACUGAAUGUCCUAGGGGGUAUUGCACCUACCGAAGACUAUCAAACUCCGAAUGCCGUCAUCUUAUACUUGGGAGUCAGACUGUGGGGGAUAAGAUUCAUAGUCGAAAGGGCAACAGCCCAGAUCGUCAGCUAAGGUCCCUAAAUGUAAGUUAAGUGGUAAAGGAUGUGGGAUUGCACAGACAACCAGGAUG